Molecule: ribosomal RNA, 1261 nt
Filed under: metagenome
Description: bacterial SSU rRNA
Rfam family: Bacterial small subunit ribosomal RNA
Source: RNAcentral
AGCUAGUAGGUGGGGUAACGGCUCACCUAGGCGACGAUCCCUAGCUGGUCUGAGAGGAUGUCCAGCCACACUGGAACUGAGACACGGUCCAGACUCCUACGGGAGGCAGCAGUGGGGAAUAUUGCACAAUGGGCGCAAGCCUGAUGCAGCCAUGCCGCGUGUAUGAAGAAGGCCUUCGGGUUGUAAAGUACUUUCAGCGGGGAGGAAGGGAGUAAAGUUAAUACCUUUGCUCAUUGACGUUACCCGCAGAAGAAGCACCGGCUAACUCCGUGCCAGCAGCCCGGUAAUACGGAGGGUGCAAGCGUUAAUCGGAAUUACUGGGCGUAAAGCGCACGCAGGCGGUUUGUUAAGUCAGAUGUGAAAUCCCCGGGCUCAACCUGGGAACUGCAUCUGAUACUGGCAAGCUUGAGUCUCGUAGAGGGGGGUAGAAUUCCAGGUGUAGCGGUGAAAUGCGUAGAGAUCUGGAGGAAUACCGGUGGCGAAGGCGGCCCCCUGGACGAAGACUGACGCUCAGGUGCGAAAGCGUGGGGAGCAAACAGGAUUAGAUACCCUGGUAGUCCACGCCGUAAACGAUGUCGACUUGGAGGUUGUGCCCUUGAGGCGCGGCUUCCGGAGCUAACGCGUUAAGUCGACCGCCUGGGGAGUACGGCCGCAAGGUUAAAACUCAAAUGAAUUGACGGGGGCCCGCACAAGCGGUGGAGCAUGUGGUUUAAUUCGAUGCAACGCGAAGAACCUUACCUGGUCUUGACAUCCACGGAAGUUUUCAGAGAUGAGAAUGUGCCUUCGGGAACCGUGAGACAGGUGCUGCAUGGCUGUCGUCAGCUCGUGUUGUGAAAUGUUGGGUUAAGUCCCGCAACGAGCGCAACCCUUAUCCUUUGUUGCCAGCGGUCCGGCCGGGAACUCAAAGGAGACUGCCAGUGAUAAACUGGAGGAAGGUGGGGAUGACGUCAAGUCAUCAUGGCCCUUACGACCAGGGCUACACACGUGCUACAAUGGCGCAUACAAAGAGAAGCGACCUCGCGAGAGCAAGCGGACCUCAUAAAGUGCGUCGUAGUCCGGAUUAGAGUCUGCAACUCGACUCCAUGAAGUCGGAAUCGCUAGUAAUCGUGGAUCAGAAUGCCACGGUGAAUACGUUCCCGGGCCUUGUACACACCGCCCGUCACACCAUGGGAGUGGGUUGCAAAAGAAGUAGGUAGCUUAACCUUCGGGAGGGCGCUUACCACUUUGUGAUUCAUGACUGGGGUGAAGUCGGAACAAGGUA